UCCACGCCGAGGAUGUCCACAUUCACGCC
RNAcentral lists this small RNA (29 nucleotides) under Bombyx mori (domestic silkworm). RNAcentral's name for it is "ovarian small RNA-26678". The record is from RNAcentral. Lineage: Eukaryota; Metazoa; Arthropoda; Insecta; Lepidoptera; Bombycidae.